GUCUCGGAUAGCUUAACAGGUAGAGUCUUUGGCGCGUAACCAAAAGAUCCAGGUUCGAGUCCUGGUCUGGGCC
RNAcentral lists this transfer RNA (73 nucleotides) under Cotesia glomerata. Its description in RNAcentral is "tRNA-Thr". It matches the Rfam family "tRNA". From Rfam's summary of the family: Transfer RNA (tRNA) molecules are approximately 80 nucleotides in length. Lineage: Eukaryota; Metazoa; Arthropoda; Insecta; Hymenoptera; Braconidae. The record is from RNAcentral.